AUGAGGGGGACCCAGGCAAGGACGGCGAGGCUCGGGACCUCCUGGACGACUUGCUCUCGAUCGAAGGAGGGUGACCAGGGGUUUAAACUGGACAGGGUUGAUGUCAAGGGAGUCAUCUUGGACAUGUUCAUAGCAGGCACCUACAAGACGAUAGAAUGGACCAUGGCCGAGCUCGUUAAGAAUCCAAGAGAAAUGGCAAAGGUGCAAUCACAGGUGAGACAGGUUGCAGGUGACCAUGGAGGAGGCGGAGCUGGACAAGAUGAACCUCCUGCAGGCGGCCAUGAAAGAAACAUUGCGGCUACACCCGGUGGUGCAGCUCCUCAUCCCACGCGAGUCAAUUCAGGAUGCGCAGCUGCAGGGUUACGACAUCCCGGCAAAGACCCGGGUCAUGGUCAACACGUGGGCCAUCGGGCCAGAAAGGUUCCUCGGCAGGACCAUCGACUACAAUGGCAAGGACCCUCGGUUUCAACCGUUCGGCGCAGGGAGGAGGCCAGGAGGGGGUGCCCCGGUAUGGCCUUUGGGACGCGCCUCGCAGAGCUCACGUUGGCCAACAUGAUGUACCAUUUUGACUGGGAGCUGCCGGGUGGCCAGGAUCCGGACUCGUUUGAGGUUGUUGAGGCUAGCGGGUUGCCGCUAGGCCUUAAUUCUGCCUUGAUCCUUGCAGUAAAACCUCUGUAA
Molecule: ribosomal RNA, 678 nt
Filed under: Triticum aestivum (bread wheat)
Lineage: Eukaryota; Viridiplantae; Streptophyta; Magnoliopsida; Poales; Poaceae
Description: partial small subunit ribosomal RNA
Source: RNAcentral